RNAcentral lists this ribosomal RNA (495 nucleotides) under uncultured bacterium. Its description in RNAcentral is "partial 16S ribosomal RNA". It matches the Rfam family "Bacterial small subunit ribosomal RNA", at positions 28 to 507 of the family's 1533-position model. The record is from RNAcentral.
GACGAACGCUGGCGGCGUGCCUAAUACAUGCAAGUAGAACGCUGAAGGAGGAGCUUGCUCUUCUGGAUGAGUUGCGAACGGGUGAGUAACGCGUAGGUAACCUGCCUGGUAGCGGGGGAUAACUAUUGGAAACGAUAGCUAAUACCGCAUAAGAGUAGAUGUUGCAUGACAUUUACUUAAAAGGUGCAAUUGCAUCACUACCAGAUGGACCUGCGUUGUAUUAGCUAGUUGGUGGGGUAACGGCUUACCAAGGCGACGAUACAUAGCCGACCUGAGAGGGUGAUCGGCCACACUGGGACUGAGACACGGCCCAGACUCCUACGGGAGGCAGCAGUAGGGAAUCUUCGGCAAUGGACGGAAGUCUGACCGAGCAACGCCGCGGGAGUGAAGAAGGUUUUCGGAUCGUAAAGCUCGGUUGUAAGAGAAGAACGAGUGUGAGAGUGGAAAGUUCACACUGUGACGGUAUCUUACCAGAAAGGGACGGCUAACUACGUG